Molecule: ribosomal RNA, 253 nt
Filed under: uncultured bacterium
Lineage: Bacteria
Description: partial 16S ribosomal RNA
Rfam family: Bacterial small subunit ribosomal RNA
Source: RNAcentral
UACGGAGGGUGCGAGCGUUAAUCGGAAUCACUGGGCGUAAAGCGCACGUAGGCGGCGCAUCAAGUCAGGCGUGAAAGCCCUCGGCUCAACCGGGGAAUUGCGUUUGAAACUGGUGUGCUGGAGUCUCGGAGAGGUUGGCGGAAUUCCAGGUGUAGGAGUGAAAUCCGUAGAUAUCUGGAGGAACACCGGUGGCGAAGGCGGCCAACUGGACGAGUACUGACGCUGAGGUGCGAAAGCGUGGGGAGCAAACAGG